AUGGAAGUGGCAUUCGUUCCGUGUUCACAAGAUCAUUAUGGUGAUCUGUACGGCUUAACGGAGUGCUUCCGAUGCCCAAGACGGACGUACACAAACACGGGAGCUUCCACGUUAAAUUCAUGCAAAGGUGAUCUUGCUGAAAAAAAGGAACAGGAUGGAAAUGUAUUUUCAAUAAAAAUUGAAGUCGUGGUAGGUGUAAACGAGAGAGGACUAAAUAAUGAUGCAA
RNAcentral lists this long non-coding RNA (226 nucleotides) under Limulus polyphemus (Atlantic horseshoe crab). RNAcentral describes it as "uncharacterized LOC111084311, transcript variant X1". Lineage: Eukaryota; Metazoa; Arthropoda; Merostomata; Xiphosura; Limulidae. The record is from RNAcentral.